RNAcentral lists this ribosomal RNA (253 nucleotides) under uncultured bacterium. Its description in RNAcentral is "partial 16S ribosomal RNA". It matches the Rfam family "Bacterial small subunit ribosomal RNA", at positions 524 to 776 of the family's 1533-position model. The record is from RNAcentral.
UACGUAGGUGGCAAGCGUUGUCCGGAAUUAUUGGGCGUAAAGCGCGCGCAGGCGGUUCCUUAAGUCUGAUGUGAAAGCCCACGGCUCAACCGUGGAGGGUCAUUGGAAACUGGGGAACUUGAGUGCAGGAGAGAAGAGUGGAAUUCCACGUGUAGCGGUGAAAUGCGUAGAGAUGUGGAGGAACGCCAGUGGCGAAGGCGACUCUUUGGCCUGUAACUGACGCUGAGGCGCGAAAGCGUGGGGAGCAAACAGG